AAGGUCGGAGAGCACUCUAAGUGGUGAUACCAACCAAUAGGCUCGAGUCAGGGAUGGAUAAAGGGAAAGAAGUUGGGCUCCUGCUUUGAGCAUGGAGCUCCAGUCUUCACCAUCAGCUUUGGAUAUCCAUCUCCAGGCAUCCAACAUAGAUGCUCACAUGGAACCUUACAGUGAAGUCCAGAUCUUCAAACUUUGGGCCCUCUGGCUCCCCAAGGCUUGUAGCUGGGAGCAAUGAUGAACACUUGGAAUCCCACCACUCCAAAGAGGCUAAGCCGGGAGGACUAUCCCUGGACAGAAGGCACCAGCAAGAAGUGGGAGAAGUUCACUGGUAAAAA
Cavia porcellus (domestic guinea pig) is the source of this 335-nucleotide long non-coding RNA. RefSeq lists it as uncharacterized. The transcript is spliced from 3 exons. NCBI's taxonomy places the organism in Eukaryota, Metazoa, Chordata, Mammalia, Rodentia, Caviidae. The record is from RefSeq and is a predicted model, not a curated record.